AUACGGAGGAUGCGAGCGUUAUCCGGAUUUAUUGGGUUUAAAGGGUGCGUAGGCUGUUUGGUAAGUCAGGGGUGAAAUGCCGUCGCUCAACGACGGAGCUGCCCUUGAUACUGCCGAGCUGGAGUACGGAUGCCGUUGGAGGAAUGAGUGGUGUAGCGGUGAAAUGCAUAGAUAUCACUCAGAACACCGAUUGCGAAGGCAUCUGACGAAUCCGUCACUGACGCUGAGGCACGAAAGCGUGGGGAUAGAACAGGAUUAGAUACCCUGGUAUUCCACGCCGUAAACGAUGAUGACUAACCGUCGGCGAUAGACAGCCGGUGGCCAAGCGAAAGCGAUAAGUCAUCCACCUGGGGAGUACGUCGGCAACGAUGAAACUCAAAUGAAUUGGCGGGG
This 393-nucleotide ribosomal RNA is filed under the name uncultured bacterium. Its description in RNAcentral is "partial 16S ribosomal RNA". It matches the Rfam family "Bacterial small subunit ribosomal RNA", at positions 523 to 918 of the family's 1533-position model. The record is from RNAcentral.